GUUUCUGUAGUGUAGUGGUUAUCACGUUUGCCUAACACGCAAAAGGUCCCUGGUUCGGAAGACCGGCAGAAACA
RNAcentral lists this transfer RNA (74 nucleotides) under Ameiurus melas (black bullhead). It matches the Rfam family "tRNA". Rfam says of the family: Transfer RNA (tRNA) molecules are approximately 80 nucleotides in length. Their secondary structure includes four short double-helical elements and three loops (D, anti-codon, and T loops). Lineage: Eukaryota; Metazoa; Chordata; Actinopteri; Siluriformes; Ictaluridae. The record is from Rfam by way of RNAcentral.